RNAcentral lists this long non-coding RNA (2623 nucleotides) under Taeniopygia guttata (zebra finch). RNAcentral describes it as "lncRNA (ENSTGUG00000026607.1)". The record is from RNAcentral. Lineage: Eukaryota; Metazoa; Chordata; Aves; Passeriformes; Estrildidae.
UUAAUGCAACGUUCUCCGUUUAUUCAAGAUCAGGCGGUAGUUUAUAUAAGCUUCCACAUAGUUUACAGAAACAAAGACACUCUGAUUGGUAGGCUAACAUUGUUUACCUUUUCCUUAAAACGGCCUACACUUUACACCAUAAAACCUAUACUAGUUCACACCCAGUGGUCCCCACAACACCUUAAGACUAUUUUCUAUCUGCGCCACAAGCUCUGAAUUUCUAACUGCGUCAGAGGCUUUGAAGGCCCCACCAGGCCUCAAUCUGAGGCCUAGACUGGAGUAGCUCAACUUUCACAAUUCAUGCCCUCUUUCUCUCAAAAAUGCUGCAACAAUUCCCUCUUUUUCUUUUGAGCUACUCAGGCUGGAGUGAAGGCGCAAUGAACUAAUUUUUGCACACACUUCUUUGACCCAGCCAGAAAAACCUAAAGAAUUGAGCCAGUUAUCAAAUGAAGUGUCCAUUUGGAGAACACUGCGUUUGGCUCGUUGAGUCUUCUGAGGCAAUUCGAGAACCUGCUGUAUGGUGGGAACAAAAAGCAUCAACCUACCGAUAUAACAUGGGCCUCCUCUAGCAUUUUGAGGGACUGCUGACCAGGCUCGGUCCCCACAAAUGAGGAAGGUUCCUGGGGGCAGUUUUCCUGCACUACCUCUUGGAGUCGAAUUGUUACAAUAUUCUAAAUAGUUGUAAUACAAUGGUGAUCUGGGAGACAACCAAGUGUCGUCAUCUGUCAAUUUUCCAUGUUCUUGAGUUGGUUUGGUAGCAUAAGAUCCAAAUAUCAAACAGUAAUUUCCUGGGACAGAACCCAAAAGACCAAAUUCUUGAAAACUGUCAUCAGUAAAUUUAAGGUUUUGCACAAAUGCAACAGCUUGCGCUCCCAGAGUGCUAUUUAAAUUUAUUUGAGCUCGGGUCCAAGUUUUGAACUCUGCAAUGGGACCCAACGAGACUCCAAUUAAACAAGUACGAAAUAAAAACAUUGAGGCCCACCACAUUCUUCUCAGGUUCUUGAAUGCCCUGUCUAACAUGAAAGAAACAAUCUUAAUUCUAAACAUAAACUAUAACUUCUAAUAAACUAACUUCUGAUAAAACUAACUUCACACUUAUAAUAUUUCAACUUAUUUUUCUGUACUCUACAAAAUUAAUUUUCAUCAGAACUGGAUUCAUCAGGGAUGUUCCAGGCAAACUGUUGUUGUUCACGUUGUUAUCACUGCGGGUUGAUAUCUUUUUCAUCUAUUUUUAAAAUUCUGUUUCUGCCUUUUCGUAUCAAUGCAGCAAGAGCAUCUGUCCUGCCCAGACGUCUUGGUCGGACGGGUAAAAACACUCACUCAAGUAGAAUUUCUGUUGAUCCACGUUGGGACCUCCCUCUUUUUCUUUUGCCAUUGAAAGACAAUGGCAAGAUGAACAGAAAAAUCACAGGCAUUACUAAAACUUAUUAAAACUUAGCAAAAAAAAAUUCUAUAACAUCAUUAAAAACACACUUAAAAAAAAACCUCAAAGCCCACGAUCUUUUGUGGGUGAAACACAAAUCUUUGCACAAUCCACUUUUGCUGUGCAUCCUCUGAUCCACUUGUGGAGAGAUCAGUGCCCUCUUGCAAUUGAUAAGUUCCACAUUCUUCACUGAAAUCCAUCUAGAUUCUGCACCUGUUAAAACACAAACAAACCCAACACCCCCACUGGGACUGGAGGGUCCUCUCUCAAUUCUGUUCCCUAAAACUUGCAUGAAGAAAUGGAAAUAUCAACAUCUUUGUUAUAAACAUGAAAAAACAUUAAGAACAAAACAAUGCACAUAGUAAAGAAACUAACAACAAAUAAAAAUCAAUCAAAUAAUACACAAUCAAUAUUACAUAUAAAAUCACAGUUAUCAAGUGCUACACUAUCAAAUUGUCAUCCCAGAGUCUGCAGCAGCUGAAAAACCUUAAAACAACAGAGAUUUGGAUAAAACAUGUCCGGAUCAUGUUUCUCCAAACUCCCUUUGAGGCUCAGCUGUCCUGUAUGGUCAAAUUGUCAAGCCAAAAGGACUUGAAUACUUUUUUGAUGCAGAAAACACCUGGAUCAAUCACACCAUCCACGUAGAGCCAGAGCCUGGCCAGAGCUCGAACUCUAAUUGGAGGAUAUGUUUAAAACAAAAGUCUUAAAAAUAACAGUUAUAAGUGAAAAACCUUAUUAUUAACAAUUUAUCAAAACAUCAAAUAAUUGAACCUGUUUAAAAUUUCUUUUUAAAACAAAAAUUCUCUAAAUACAACAAACCUUUUCUUCAAAAAUCUGAAAAUUUGAAGUCUGAAAUCUUGAACCAGAACUUGGACUAUAAAUUUUUAAAAGAAGGUGAACUGCAGCUGCAUAGAAGAUUGAAUAAAGAAAACACAUGAGUAGUUAAAAAAUCAAACACACAGGAUCCUGAAAAAUACAUCUUACAAUCAAGCACCUAAAAAAAAAAAAAUAAAACAUAUGAAAACUGACUAUAAAUAUUAAAACAACACCUCAAUACCUUAACAUCUUAAUAAUAAUUCUUAUCACAAAAAUCAGACAACUUACAUUAUAUGAUCAGCUUAUCAACAAGAAAUGUUUAAAAUAGUUUAAAACAAUCUUGUCAAAGCAUUCAUAUAACAUUAGUAACAAUCACUACUUAUC